AACGAACGCUGGCGGCAUGCCUAACACAUGCAAGUCGAACGAGACCUUCGGGUCUAGUGGCGCACGGGUGCGUAACGCGUGGGAACCUGCCCUUAGGGUCGGAAUAACUCCCCGAAAGGGGUGCUAAUACCGGAUAAUGUCUUCGGCCCAAAGAUUUAUCGCCUUUGGAUGGGCCCGCGUUGGAUUAGCUAGUUGGUAGGGUAAAAGCCUACCACGGGGACGAUCCAUAGCUGGUCUGAGAGGAUGAUCAGCCACACUGGGACUGAGACACGGCCCAGACUCCUACGGGAGGCAGCAGUGGGGAAUAUUGGAAAAUGGGCGAAAGCCUGAUCCAGCAAGGCCGCGUGAGUGAUGAAGGCCUUAGGGUUGUAAAGCUCUUUUAACCGGGAUGAUAAUGACAGUACCGGGAGAAUAAGCUCCGGCUAACUCCGUG
This 433-nucleotide ribosomal RNA is filed under the name uncultured bacterium. Its description in RNAcentral is "partial 16S ribosomal RNA". It matches the Rfam family "Bacterial small subunit ribosomal RNA", at positions 29 to 507 of the family's 1533-position model. The record is from RNAcentral.